This 895-nucleotide ribosomal RNA is filed under the name human gut metagenome. RNAcentral's name for it is "bacterial SSU rRNA". It matches the Rfam family "Bacterial small subunit ribosomal RNA", at positions 8 to 904 of the family's 1533-position model. The record is from RNAcentral.
AGAGUUUGAUCCUGGCUCAGGAUAAACGCUGGCGGCGUGCCUAAUACAUGCAAGUCGAUCGAUAGAAGUCCAGCUUGCUGGACGGAAAUAGAGGCGAACGGGUGAGUAAUACGUAAGCAACCUGCCCACGAAGACCGGGAUAAUCCCUGGAAACGGGGACUAAGACCGGAUAGGUACACAGACCGCAUGAUCUGUGUAUUAAAGGUGAGAGACACUGGUGGAUGGGCUUACGGUGCAUUAGCUGGAUGGUGAGGUAACGGCCCACCAUGGCGAUGAUGCAUAGCCGGGCUGAGAGGCUGAACGGCCACAUUGGGACUGAGACACGGCCCAGACUCCUACGGGAGGCAGCAGUAGGGAAUUUUCGGCAAUGGGGGCAACCCUGACCGAGCAACGCCGCGUGAGUGAUGAAGGUCUUCGGAUUGUAAAGCUCUGUUGUAAGGGAAGAACGGCAUCUAGAGAAUAGAUGAGUGACGGUACCUUACCAGAAAGCUACGGCUAACUACGUGCCAGCAGCCGCGGUAAUACGUAGGUAGCGAGCGUUAUCCGGAAUUAUUGGGCGUAAAGGGUGCGUAGGCGGCCUGUUAAGUUUAUGGUGAAAGCGUGGGGCUCAACCCCAUAAAGCCAUAGAUACUGGCAGGCUAGAGUACUGGAGAGGGUAGUGGAAUUCCAUGUGUAGCGGUAAAAUGCGUAGAUAUAUGGAGGAACACCGGUGGCGAAGGCGGCUACCUAGACAGAGACUGACGCUGAGGCACGAAAGCGUGGGGAGCAAAUAGGAUUAGAUACCCUAGUAGUCCACGCUGUAAACGAUGAAUGCUAGGUAUCGGGGCGACCCGGUGCCGAAACUAACGCGAUAAGCAUUCCGCCUGUGGAGUAUGCACGCAAGUGUGAAACAUAA